UAUUCAUCCCAUGCGGGAAGGAUGAGAAGCUUCGACUAAGGUUCGAUUCGAGCGAAGCGAGAAAGCGUUGCCGCAGGCAACGACCCGAAGGGCGAGGCGCAACGCGCCGAGUAAUCCUUCCCCCACUACCA
This 131-nucleotide small RNA is filed under the name Klebsiella michiganensis. Its description in RNAcentral is "RtT sRNA". It matches the Rfam family "RtT RNA". Rfam says of the family: This family represents a bacterial cis-regulatory element known as RtT RNA. Lineage: Bacteria; Pseudomonadati; Pseudomonadota; Gammaproteobacteria; Enterobacterales; Enterobacteriaceae. The record is from RNAcentral.